ACUCGAGUGGCGAACGGGUGAGUAACACGUGGGUGAUCUGCCCUGCACUUCGGGAUAAGCUUGGGAAACUGGGUCUAAUACCGGAUAGGAGCCAUCUUUAGUGUGGUGGUUGAAAAGUUUUUCGGUGUAGGAUGAGCUCGCGGCCUAUCAGCUUGUUGGUGGGGUAAUGGCCUACCAAGGCGGCGACGGGUAGCCGGCCUGAGAGGGUGUACGGCCACAUUGGGACUGAGAUACGGCCCAG
This 241-nucleotide ribosomal RNA is filed under the name uncultured Actinomycetales bacterium. RNAcentral describes it as "partial 16S ribosomal RNA". It matches the Rfam family "Bacterial small subunit ribosomal RNA", at positions 89 to 334 of the family's 1533-position model. The record is from RNAcentral. Lineage: Bacteria; Bacillati; Actinomycetota; Actinomycetes; Actinomycetales.